UACGUGGGGACCAAGCGUUGUCCGGAAUUACUGGGCGUAAAGGGCGUGCAGGUGGCCCGUCAAGCGUGGCGUGAAAGCCCCCGGCCCAACCGGGGAGGGUCGUCGCGGACUGACGGGCUUGAGGGGCGCAGGGGUCGGUGGAAUUCCGGGUGUAGUGGUGAAAUGCGUAGAGAUCCGGAGGAACACCAGUGGCGAAGGCGGCCGGCUGGGCGCACCCUGACACUGAGACGCGAAGGCGUGGGGAGCGAAC
RNAcentral lists this ribosomal RNA (250 nucleotides) under uncultured Chloroflexota bacterium. RNAcentral's name for it is "uncultured Chloroflexi bacterium partial 16S ribosomal RNA". It matches the Rfam family "Bacterial small subunit ribosomal RNA", at positions 524 to 773 of the family's 1533-position model. The record is from RNAcentral. Lineage: Bacteria; Bacillati; Chloroflexota.